Molecule: ribosomal RNA, 240 nt
Filed under: uncultured bacterium
Lineage: Bacteria
Description: partial 16S ribosomal RNA
Rfam family: Bacterial small subunit ribosomal RNA
Source: RNAcentral
GAUCCUGGCUCAGGAUGAACGCUAUCUACAGGCUUAACACAUGCAAGUCGAGGGGAAACGACAUCGAAAGCUUGCUUUUGAUGGGCGUCGACCGGCGCACGGGUGAGUAACGCGUAUCCAACCUGCCUACCACUUGGGGAUAACCUUGCGAAAGUAAGACUAAUGCCCAAUGAUAUCCCACGAAGGCAUUCGAAUGGGAUUAAAGAUUUAUCGGUGAUGGAUGGGGAUGCGUCUGAUUAG